Molecule: ribosomal RNA, 394 nt
Filed under: Pseudochattonella sp.
Lineage: Eukaryota; Dictyochophyceae; Florenciellales
Description: partial small subunit ribosomal RNA
Rfam family: Eukaryotic small subunit ribosomal RNA
Source: RNAcentral
UUCCAGCUCCAAUAGCGUAUAUUAAAGUUGUUGCAGUUAAAAAGCUCGUAGUUGGAUUUCUGGCGUCGCCGCCCGGUUGGCCUCGAAAGGGGUAUGUACUGGGGCGCGCGUUGCCAUCCUCGGGGGAAGGUCGUCUGGUAUUAAGUUGUCGGACGGUCGACGCUCGUCGUUUACUGUGAACAAAUUAGAGUGUUCAAAGCAGGCUUAGGCCGUUGAAUACAUUAGCAUGGAAUAAUGAGAUAGGACUUUGGUGGUCUAUUUUGUUGGUUUGCACGCCGAAGUAAUGAUUAAUAGGGGCGGUUGGGGGUAUUCGUAUUCAAUUGUCAGAGGUGAAAUUCUUGGAUUUAUGGAAGACGAACUACUGCGAAAGCAUUUACCAAGGAUGUUUUCAUUA